Molecule: ribosomal RNA, 301 nt
Filed under: uncultured bacterium
Lineage: Bacteria
Description: partial 16S ribosomal RNA
Rfam family: Bacterial small subunit ribosomal RNA
Source: RNAcentral
CAGUAGCCGCGGGAAUACGAAGGGGGCUAGCGUUGUUCGGAUUUACUGGGCGUAAAGCGCACGUAGGCGGACUUUUAAGUCAGGGGUGAAAUCCCGGGGCUCAACCCCGGAACUGCCUUUGAUACUGGGAGUCUUGAGUUCGAGAGAGGUGAGUGGAAUUGCGAGUGUAGAGGUGAAAUUCGUAGAUAUUCGCAGGAACACCAGUGGCGAAGGCGGCUCACUGGCUCGAUACUGACGCUGAGGUGCGAAAGCGUGGGGAGCAAACAGGAUUAGAUACCCGGGUAGUCCCUGUCUCUUAUAU